Molecule: long non-coding RNA, 588 nt
Filed under: Capsicum annuum
Lineage: Eukaryota; Viridiplantae; Streptophyta; Magnoliopsida; Solanales; Solanaceae
Description: long non-coding RNA (CANN_LNC007633)
Source: RNAcentral
CUCACUGUCACUCAAUAGAAAAACCCAUAAUACUCGCAAUCAACCGAAUACACUCAUAUAUACCCACAUGAAAGGGAGAAACCAAACGGAAAAAGAGAGAGAAGUGAGACGGAGAGAGAUUGGAGAUCGGGAGUAACGGAAAUGGCUCGCCGGAAAUCGACUGAGAAUCAUCCUCUGGGUAUUGCUAUCACUGUUACGCUGGAUUUACCAUCGAAAAGACCAUACUGUCGCUAUCCGCUACUGUUUUCGGCGAAAAACAGCGCUGUCAGCGUCGCUCCAACCAUUUUCUUCUCGGUUAUUUCCAUUAUUACCUCACCGGAGCUCGAAUAGUAUGGGUUCCUCAGUUUUUUUGGUAAUUCCCUGAUUUCCGAUCUGUUUUUGCCUAUUUUUCGAAGAUCUCAAACACGGUUUUCUUGGUUUUUGGCGUUGUCAGUCUUCGACUUGAGUGAUAUACUUCGUCUUUCCGGGAUUCAAGUCAGUUCGUGUUAUUAUUUCUCAUUAUUGAGUUGGUGUGGCUCGUUAUUGAGUUUCGAUUCGAGGUUUUCGGUGCCGUUUUUAUCUUCAAUAUAUUGAAAGCUAAAAGUUUAG